RNAcentral lists this small nuclear RNA (160 nucleotides) under Ochotona princeps (American pika). Its description in RNAcentral is "U1 spliceosomal RNA (ENSOPRG00000017738.1)". It matches the Rfam family "U1 spliceosomal RNA". Rfam says of the family: U1 is a small nuclear RNA (snRNA) component of the spliceosome (involved in pre-mRNA splicing). Lineage: Eukaryota; Metazoa; Chordata; Mammalia; Lagomorpha; Ochotonidae. The record is from RNAcentral.
ACACUUAUCUGGCAGGGGAGAUAUCUUAUCACUAGGUGGUUUUCCCAGGGUAAGGUUUAUUCAGUUCACUCUGGAUGUGCUGACCCCUGAGUUUUCCCCAAAUGUGGAAAGCUCAACUGCAUAGUUUGUGGUAGUGGGGGACUGUGUUCGUACUCCAUGC